RNAcentral lists this ribosomal RNA (503 nucleotides) under uncultured bacterium. RNAcentral describes it as "partial 16S ribosomal RNA". It matches the Rfam family "Bacterial small subunit ribosomal RNA", at positions 30 to 523 of the family's 1533-position model. The record is from RNAcentral.
AUUGAGCGCUGGCGGCAGGCUUAACACAUGCAAGUCGAGCGGGGUGAUGGUGCUUGCACUAUCACUUAGCGGCGGACGGGUGAGUAAUGCUUAGGAAUCUGCCUAUUAGUGGGGGACAACAUCUCGAAAGGGAUGCUAAUACCGCAUACGUCCUACGGGAGAAAGCAGGGGAUGACUUCUGACCUUGCGCUAAUAGAUGAGCCGAAGUCGGAUUAGCUGGUUGGUGGGGUAAGGGCCGACCAAGGCGACGAUCUGUAGCGGGUCUGAGAGGAUGAUCCGCCACACUGGGACUGAGACACGGCCCAGACUCCUACGGGAGGCAGCAGUGGGGAAUAUUGGACAAUGGGGGGAACCCUGAUCCAGCCAUGCCGCGUGUGUGAAGAAGGCCUUAUGGUUGUAAAGCACUUUAAGCGAGGAGGAGGCUCUUUUGGUUAAUACCCAAGAUGAGUGGACGUUACUCGCAGAAUAAGCACCGGCUAACUCUGUGCCAGCCGCCGCCGUAA